CGCGCGUGAGCAACUUAGUCUAGCGUGGCAAAGCGCGUCCCGGCAGCACCAGCAAACAGCAACCAGUCCGCGUUCCUUUUUUUUUCUGACCGUGGGUCCCACCCAAAGCAUCUUCAACCUCCAGCCAGGAGUCCACCGCGAGCACGGGAUCGAUCUUGAUCCAAAUCCCCGGAAAAACUCGCGGAAUUUGUUAUCCCUAACCACGAUUUCUUCCCCUAUAAAUACACAUCUCUCUCCUCCGUUUUUCCCCUUUAAAGCCUUAAAAUUUGAGCCGUCAGGGCUGCCAAAAUUUUCUUGCCAGAGUUCAUCUCGGCCGCCUUCGACACUCGUCGAUUCCGACGAAAAUCCGCAACCAAUCGACGAACUGGUCUUCAACCUCACCUCACCGAUGGCUGUGUCGCCUCCGGCCGCCUCCACUCGAAGUUCGAGGAAGCGCCUAAGCACGUUGUUGUUACCAUCAGGUUCCCUGCGUCGUGCUGAACCUCGUCGACGUCUUCACAUCGCGGCGGCAGAAACCCGAGGAUGCCGAGAACCAUCGGGUCCAUGACGUCCGGCCGCCACCUCGCGACAUCUCUGCCACUGUAAGCCAAUGUACAGUUUAGAGUAGAUUUUGCAGAUCCGUCCUAGAUCGUUUGAUCUAGAUCUAAGGGUUCUGCUAGGCCAGCUAUCUGUACUAUGUGAAUCUGUUUUGCUCAGACCAAUCGAUCGGUUCGUGACUACUA
Molecule: long non-coding RNA, 722 nt
Organism: Lolium perenne
Lineage: Eukaryota; Viridiplantae; Streptophyta; Magnoliopsida; Poales; Poaceae
Source: RefSeq, a predicted model, not a curated record